Canis lupus familiaris (dog) is the source of this 2861-nucleotide long non-coding RNA. RefSeq lists it as uncharacterized. Lineage: Eukaryota; Metazoa; Chordata; Mammalia; Carnivora; Canidae. The record is from RefSeq and is a predicted model, not a curated record. The transcript has 7 exons.
GCCGCCAGGGGGCUCACGCGGAGGCGCUCCCGACGCCUGCUUUCUUAGACCUCGGAGGGGACCCGCACGUGGAUGGCACGCGGCCCGGGAGACGCUGGGAAGUCACACUGCGUGGUGCGGGUGGGGCUCGGCAGCAGUUUUCCCGGCCUCCAUCCGUCCUGUUGGUGCAGGGACGUAAAGAUAACUGGGAGCAAGUCCCGCUACCCGGUAGGGGGGCAGUGGGCCCCCCGGGUUCCCCGGGCAACGCGCCAACUCGACCCGGACCGGGCCGGCCACACUGCCGGCUGCCACGGGCUCGGCGCGGGCCGCGACUGCGGGGACUCAGCGGCCGCUGGGGAGGCCGCGCCAAAGCUCGAGCACAGGGGCAGCCGCGCCCCUGGUUUACCGUCUUAGCGACACGGGCCGUUAGUUUCAGGAUUUUGGAGACAAACGUACUUGAAAUAUAACAUGUUUUCUUCUCCCUGGUGGGAGCGUCUGAAGGAAUCUUCUUCGCUGCGCACGAGGGAUUUGGAGCCCUGAGCCUUGCAGAGUCAACGGUCCUUUCGCUGGGCGGAGCUGCUUACCUGCUACUGGAGGCCAGUCCUAUUUAUAAACCAUCUUGAUUUAAUCUCUGCCAUAUUUUUAAACUAAGCAUAAACGAUCAACCCUGUGAUUUAUCUCAAAAGCUCUGAUCCUCCUUGCUCCUCCCCAAACAGCCGAGCACACUCCCAACUCGGGCCCUUGGCACUGGCUGCUGCUCCUCCGUCAAGUGCUGCUCCUUCAGACAUUGUAGAGUUAGUUCCUUUGCGCUUUCCAGGUUUUCAUCAAAAUUCAGCUUCACCGCGAGCCGCCCCAGUCCACGUGUGCAACCUCAACCUCCCGUUUCGGGUCCUCCCUGCCCACAUUAUCUUCUUCUUGCCACUGACCACGAAGUAACGCAGCAGACGCACUAUCUGUUUAUUUUCUACCUUCCAUACCACAGUUCAAGCCCUGUUAGGGCAAGACUAUUUUUCACUAUCAUACUGUCGGCCGAGUGGAGUGUGGGCACGUCUAAGAGCUCUAUAUGUUUGUUAACUUGGUGACUGAAAACAAAACAAAAAAACCCGAUUCCAUGAUGUCUGGACUUAUAACUGGGUUUUCCUUUUUCAAAUGUAUAGUCUUUGCUCAGUGUAAAUCUCUUCUGUGUGUAAGUUCAAACUAAGAAUUUUUGGAAAGCACAGAAUUAGGUUAAAAACUAUGAUGCUGGAGAUCUUCAUUGUAAAUAGAGGGUCAGUGUAUUAAAGUUGUACACGCUUUUUUGUAAGACCCUUGGAUAAGUAAAUUAUAUUUUUUUUGUCAUAGGGCUUUCUUUAUUUUUGUUCUGAAGAAUAAAUAAGUAAAUCAGCAGAAAAAAUAUUUAGAUAGGUGGUAUGCAAUGACACCUUAGGGAAAUGUAUUUGAUGACUUACAAUAAACUAUGUUCCAAGCAAAUUAUAAUUGCUGCCCAGGAGAGAAAAGCAAAAUCCUAAGAAAUUGUUUCUGCCUUUAUUUGGUGGAAAUUGUGUGCACAUAAUGCACUUGACAAAAAAAAAAAUGACAAAGGAGAGGUAAAACUAUUCAUAGCAAAAUAUUUAUAAUUUCACCAUUGGGUAUGAGUUAAAUGAGUCUGCCUCAAAUGGAGGAAAGUCAUAAAAUUUUUCAAAAACGGUUCCUAGAAAAAGUAAUGAGAGUUGGCCUAUUUUUUUCCAAAAGCCUGUUCUUUGUGCCUGGCGCCAUGGUAUGGACUUUGCACACAUUCAGAUGCUAGAUCCUCCAGCAACACUGUGCUUUGGAUACUAUUUUCUCCAUUUUGCAAAUGAGAAAACUGGAUCUCAACGAGGUAUUAGGAUGGAAGCCUCGACUGAUAAGGUGGCAAAGUCAAUACAUACCUCUGGAGAGAAGCAAAGUGCAAAGUUUAUGAGAAAACAGUUCCUUUCCUUUGAUUUUUUAUUUUAGCAAAACUCAAAGUUUCAAAGGUGUAUGAUCAUGGAAGAACUAGCAGACGGCGACAGAAUCAGCUCUGCAGUUGCACUGCACUGUGGUACCGAGGCUCAGAAGUCCAAGAUCAUGGUGACUGAAGAUCCAGUGCCUAGUAGAACCUACAUCCUGGUGUAUAUAGCUGUCUUCUUGCUGUAUCUUCACAGUGGAUGUUCCUUUGCUGCUGACUUAGUAAAGUUGAAGGAAAAUUGAUAUAUGCAGAAGAUAUACAGUAGUAGGAAGAACGGUGAAAAUCAGAUACCAAAGAGUAAUCACAAAAGGAGAUUAUCCAAGCCAUCUAGAAUUCUUGGGGGAGAGAUGAGAGAUAGUAUGAUUGCUCUGGAGAUUUCUGGAAGAGAUCAAGUUGGAGAAAAAAAUGAAAGCAAGCAAAAAUCUGUCACUGUUGUUUGUGAUAGUAACCAUGCCACUAAGGAAAUGAUUUUAAAAGAAAUAAUGCCUAAAUCAGCGAUUUAACGCAGACUUUUGGGAAUGUGGGAAAAACUGCAAAUAGGAAUUAAGCAUGCUUACUGAGCAAGUGUCACUGGCAGGGAGGUGUGCUGCGGCCGCUAGGGCACGGGCAGGAAGCAGGGGCGGGCCGGGUCUCUGCACCCUGAGGCUCUGCGGCCUCCCUCCAGCACCCCAGCUGGCACAGGCCCAGGAUGCCAGCGGCACGCGGCAGCAGUGACUUGACGAAUCUCGGCCGCAGCACCCCGAAGAGCCCUGUAGAAAAUUGGAUUCACAAUUUACUACCACGCACGCAUGCCCCCGACACGACGGCGUUUAAUAUAAUAUAAUUAAGAAUUUAAUUUCAGGGACGCCUGGGUGGCUCAACGGUAGAGCGUCUGCCUGUGGCCCAGGUCGUGACCCCGGGGUCCCGGGAUCGAGUC